AACCCGGCUGUAUGAAGCUGGAAUCGCUAGUAAUCGCAGAUCAGAAUGCUGCGGUGAAUACGUUCCCGGGUCUUGUACACACCGCCCGUCACACCAUGGGAGCCAGGAAUGCCCGAAGCCAGUGGCCUAACCGCAAGGGAGGAGCUGUCGAAGGCAGGCCCGGUAACUGGGGUGAAGUCGUAACAAGGUAAC
This 192-nucleotide ribosomal RNA is filed under the name uncultured bacterium. Its description in RNAcentral is "partial 16S ribosomal RNA". It matches the Rfam family "Bacterial small subunit ribosomal RNA", at positions 1309 to 1500 of the family's 1533-position model. The record is from RNAcentral.